This 577-nucleotide long non-coding RNA is filed under the name Homo sapiens (human). RNAcentral describes it as "non-protein coding lnc-NPC1-2:3". The record is from RNAcentral. Lineage: Eukaryota; Metazoa; Chordata; Mammalia; Primates; Hominidae.
UUUUCGCUUUCAGACCCCUGGUGUUAAAGACGUUCUGUGAGCGGGUGGGGCCGGGCGCCCCAGUCACGGCGGCCGCCGCCUCCUCUUCCCGCAGGACGGGACAGCGCCCCUGUGGAUCGCGUCCCAGAUGGGCCACAGCGAGGUGGUGCGGGUGAUGCUGCUGCGCGGAGCCGACCGCGACGCUGCGCGGAACGUGAGUGCCCGAGUCGCGCGGCCAAAGAGCGAAGCCUCCCGGCGCGCCUGUGUGGAGAAAACGGGUCUUGACUGAGUCUGCAGCCCACAUGGGUUUCCUCCCAACCUCCUUCCUUGAGCAGGAAAACAAAGUCAAGAUAAACCCUAAUGGCAGGCCGAAGUGGUUUCUUGGCUACGGGAGAAUUAUGGACUAAAUCCUCCAAACACAGCGACUGAUAUGUGAAAAUGGGAGAAAAAGGAAUUUGGAAACUGUGUUCUUGAGCCAAAAAAUAACGACAGAAGCUAAAUAUUAAUUUUUGAAUUUGGCUUUUCAUUCUUUUUAGCAGAUUUUAUUUUAUUUUUUUCUGAGACAGAGUCUCACUCUGUCACCCAGGCUGGAGUGCAG